Clostridium tyrobutyricum DIVETGP is the source of this 177-nucleotide regulatory RNA element. Lineage: Bacteria; Bacillati; Bacillota; Clostridia; Eubacteriales; Clostridiaceae. The record is from Rfam.
AGAAUAUAAAUAAAUUCAGGUGCCUAUUUUAGGUGAAAAGGGAAUAUGGUUAAAAUCCAUAACAGCCCCCGCUACUGUAUUUGAAGACGAAUCUUUUUUAUGCCACCUUGAUAGGGGAAGGCCAGAAGACAAGGAUGAAUCAUAAGUCAGGAGACCUGCCUGGUGUUAUUUUGUUUA